UUUUUUUUUUUUUUUUUGGUGGGAAACAGCCAUUUUCUUAUAUGAUGAUGAUCAACAUAAUGCAUAGGUUCAGAAAUUUGUAUUGUUAAAGUCAGGGAUAAAGUUGUUUUACUUAGGAAAUACUUUAGUUUUAUUUGGUGAUAAAAAACAAGCUGAUGCUUAUUAUUUAUGUAAUAGCACUAAGUCCUGUUUCUCCCCCCUUUACUGAACUGUGCCAUGAAGUCUAUCCUCUUGAUGGAGGAGGGUAAGGUGUCAGCUUUGCUUCUGCAGAAUGUAAAAAAUUAUAUAGCAAUGUUUUAAAAGUUCCAAAUUAACAGAUUCAUUUUUUUAAAAGAUUUUGUUUAUUUAUUUGAGAGCAAGUGAGCAAGCGAGCAAGUGAUGGGGGUGGAACAGAGGGAGAGGGACAAGCAGACUCUGCCCUCACUGUGGAGCAGAUAGGAGGCUCCAUCACACAACCCCGAGAUCAUGACUUGAUCCCAAAUUCAGACUCGGCUGCUUAACGGACUGAGUCACCCAGAUGCUGCCAAAGUAACACUUUUAACACACACACAAAUCACACUGCAAUGUAAUUGUGCUAUUCAUUCAUAAGCUAACUAUAGAAUCCACAAAAGGCUUGAAUUGGUGGCUCACUUAAGCACCAUGGUAACAGCACUCAAAGUUUAAAGUUGUAGGAGCGGAGCCUCUCCGGCCAGUAGGCCUGGCAAAGGGCAAAUGCAGAACCUUGCCCUGCCCUCAAAGAUCCACUUCAGUCCUCAGAGCCCUCGAGAUGAGCCUUGAUGGCAAGCUUCGGACUUUGGGUAGAAAUGGGAGUAGAUUUUUUUUUCAUCUUCUUUUAUUUCCUCAACUUUGUUGCUUCAUGAUAUUUAUUUAAAAAAAAAAAAAAGGAAAAGGAAAAGAAAGAAGUUUUCCUUCAGGGUAUGACAUUUGACCUGGCACCUCUCCAAGUGUCACGUUCCUUGGUGUAAAAUGGAAAUAUUAGGACCACCUUACCGUGCAGAGAGUAGGGGCUCCUCGGUUGUGCCGUUCCUAAGAACCCUGCCCGACGUAGCUGUUUCUGGAAGAGGGUGCCGGUUCCCUUCACCUAUUAGUCAAGUGAUUUCCCAUCUCUCUGGGUCCCAACUUCGCCUCCGCCCAAUGGCUUUGCGGACGUCACUUUUCAAUGCUAUCUCCAUCGGACUCCUCAGCCUGUCACAGACCAAUGCACAGGGCUGUGGUAAAGGGUGGCUUUUCCUCAGGGAGAUGGCUGGUUCUGCGGACAGAACUGUGGUUCCUCCGACUCACGCUGCCCGGGAGGUCGU
This 1298-nucleotide long non-coding RNA is filed under the name Canis lupus familiaris (dog). Its description in RNAcentral is "lncRNA (ENSCAFG00845012551.1)". The record is from RNAcentral. Lineage: Eukaryota; Metazoa; Chordata; Mammalia; Carnivora; Canidae.